GCCGAGGUGUUGGAACUGGUAGACAAGCACGGCUUAGAACCGUGUGCCGCAAGGCGUGAGGGUUCGAUCCCCUCUCUCGGCA
RNAcentral lists this transfer RNA (82 nucleotides) under Candidatus Woesebacteria bacterium. RNAcentral describes it as "tRNA-Leu". It matches the Rfam family "tRNA". From Rfam's summary of the family: Transfer RNA (tRNA) molecules are approximately 80 nucleotides in length. The record is from RNAcentral. Lineage: Bacteria; Candidatus Woeseibacteriota.